Molecule: transfer RNA, 66 nt
Filed under: Leptoglossus membranaceus
Lineage: Eukaryota; Metazoa; Arthropoda; Insecta; Hemiptera; Coreidae
Description: tRNA-Asn
Source: RNAcentral
UUAAUUGAAGCCAAAACAGAGGCUUUUCAUUGUUAAUGAAAUCAUUGAUUUAUAAAUCCAAUUAAA